This 351-nucleotide small RNA is filed under the name Pan troglodytes (chimpanzee). RNAcentral's name for it is "processed transcript". Lineage: Eukaryota; Metazoa; Chordata; Mammalia; Primates; Hominidae. The record is from RNAcentral.
CCAUUGCUGAAGAGAGAGACAAAAGACUGGCGGCCAAACAGAGCAGUGGGUGAAAUGGGUCCCUGGGUGACAUGUCAGAUCUUUGAGUCUGUGAGCCACUUCACUACAAGAACUUGGAGUCCUCGCCUUUGCAUUCCCGGUGCCGGGCAAAGUGCCCACCUCCAAAGGUGCCCAGUAAAUAUCGAAUGAAAUGCCUUCAUAUGAUCCGUCCAGAAGAACGUUGGAGUUUCCAGAACCAAAUUAGGAGGACUGAGCCUUCUUCAGUCCCUAAUUCAGGAGCACCACCUCUCUGCUUUCCCCCACCUCUCCCUGAAACCCCAGCCUUGCCGUGGCUGUUUGUUGUGCCCGGCC